RNAcentral lists this ribosomal RNA (393 nucleotides) under uncultured bacterium. RNAcentral's name for it is "partial 16S ribosomal RNA". It matches the Rfam family "Bacterial small subunit ribosomal RNA", at positions 523 to 918 of the family's 1533-position model. The record is from RNAcentral.
AUACGGAAGGUCCGGGCGUUAUCCGGAUUUAUUGGGUUUAAAGGGAGCGCAGGCGGAGACGCAAGCGUGACGUCAAAUUUCGGGGCUCAACCCCGUCUCGCGUCGCGAACUGCGUCCCUUGGUUGCGGGAAGGGGAGGCGGAACUCGUGGGGUAGCGGUGAAAUGCAUAGAUAUCACGAAGAACUCCGAUCGCGAAGGCAGCCUUCCGGCCCGUCAACGACGCUCAUGCUCGAAGGUGCGGGUAUCAAACAGGAUUAGAUACCCUGGUAGUCCGCACAGUAAACGAUGGACACCCGCGGUUUGGCCUAUAUGGCUGAGCCGCCAAGCGAAAGCGUUAAGUGUCCCACCUGGGGAGUACGCCGGCAACGGUGAAACUCAAAUGAAUUGACGGGG